This 252-nucleotide ribosomal RNA is filed under the name uncultured bacterium. RNAcentral's name for it is "partial 16S ribosomal RNA". It matches the Rfam family "Bacterial small subunit ribosomal RNA", at positions 524 to 776 of the family's 1533-position model. The record is from RNAcentral.
UGCGGAGGAUGCGAGCGUUAUCCGGAUUUAUUGGGUUUAAAGGGUGCGUAGGCGGACGCUUAAGUCAGCGGUAAAAUUGCGGGGCUCAACCUCGUCGAGCCGUUGAAACUGGGUGCCUUGAGUGGGCGAGAAGUACGCGGAAUGCGUGGUGUAGCGGUGAAAUGCAUAGAUAUCACGCAGAACUCCGAUUGCGAAGGCAGCGUACCGGCGCCCAACUGACGCUGAAGCACGAAGGCGUGGGUAUCGAACAGG